CACGUAGAUGGCUUUGUAAGUCGGAUGUGAAAUCCCCGGGCUCAACCUGGGAACUGCAUUCGAAACUGCAUUGCUCGAAUGUGGAAGAGGGAAGCGGAAUUCCAGGUGUAGCGGUGAAAUGCGUAGAUAUCUGGAGGAACAUCAGUGGCGAAGGCGGCUUCCUGGUCCAACAUUGACAUUCAGGUGCGAAGCGUGGGGAGCAAACAGGAUUAGAUACCCUGGUAGUCCACGCCAUAAACGAUGAGAACUAGAUGUCGGGAGGGUUAGCCUUCCGGUGUCGCAGCUAACGCGUUAAGUUCUCCGCCUGGGGGAGUACGGCCGCAAGGUUGAA
RNAcentral lists this ribosomal RNA (331 nucleotides) under uncultured bacterium. Its description in RNAcentral is "bacterial SSU rRNA". It matches the Rfam family "Bacterial small subunit ribosomal RNA", at positions 568 to 898 of the family's 1533-position model. The record is from RNAcentral.